GAUGAACGCUGGCGGCGUGCCUAAUACAUGCAAGUCGAGCGAAUGGAUUAAGAGCUUGCUCUUAUGAAGUUAGCGGCGAACGGGUGAGUAACACGUGGGUAACCUGCCCAUAAGACUGGGAUAACUCCGGGAAACCGGGGCUAAUACCGGAUAACAUUUUGAACCGCAUGGUUCGAAAUUGAAAGGCGGCUUCGGCUGUCACUUAUGGAUGGACCCGAGUCGCAUUAGCUAGUUGGUGAGGUAACGGCUCACCAAGGCAACGAUGCGUAGCCGACCUGAUAGGGUGAUCGGCCACACUGGGACUGAGACACGGCCCAGACUCCUACGGGAGGCAGCAGUAGGGAAUCUUCCGCAAUGGACGAAAGUCUGACGGAGCAACGCCGCGUGAGUGAGGAAGGCUUUCGGGUCGUAAAACUCUGUUGUUAGGGAAGAACAAGUGCUAGUUGAAUAAGCUGGCACCUUGACGGUACCUAACCAGAAAGCCACGGCUAACUACGUGCCAGCCGCCGCAGUAA
RNAcentral lists this ribosomal RNA (515 nucleotides) under uncultured bacterium. RNAcentral's name for it is "partial 16S ribosomal RNA". It matches the Rfam family "Bacterial small subunit ribosomal RNA", at positions 28 to 523 of the family's 1533-position model. The record is from RNAcentral.